CGACCCGGCCAUAGCGGUUGGGCAACACCCGGUCUCAUAUCGAACCCGGAAGUUAAGCCAACCGCGUCAAGGUGGCCGUGAGGUCCGAGAGGCCUCGCAGCCACCUUGAGCCGGGAUCGG
RNAcentral lists this ribosomal RNA (120 nucleotides) under Thermogladius calderae 1633. The record is from RNAcentral. Lineage: Archaea; Thermoproteati; Thermoproteota; Thermoprotei; Desulfurococcales; Desulfurococcaceae. RNAcentral also lists the same sequence under 1 other name.